Molecule: ribosomal RNA, 7797 nt
Filed under: Endoconidiophora resinifera
Lineage: Eukaryota; Fungi; Ascomycota; Sordariomycetes; Microascales; Ceratocystidaceae
Description: large subunit ribosomal RNA
Rfam family: Bacterial large subunit ribosomal RNA (bases 16-1416)
Source: RNAcentral
UAUAGAACAUAUGUUUAUAAGUAUAUAAAGAGAUCAUUUUGUGCAAAUAGCUGUGUUUUAGUGGGAGCAGUAAUGAUUUAUUUAAUAAAUAUUAACCCUAAGAGAAAUUUGAUAAAAAACGAAGCGAAUUGAAAUAUCUUAAUAGCUUUAGGAAAAGAAAUCAAAAGAGAUUCUAUGAUUAGUGUGAGCGAAAGUAGACAAGCCUAAAAAAAAGUAAAACAGAUUUAAAUCUUCUUGAACUUUAAGGGGAACCUUCCUCUAAGGCUAAAUAAUAAACAUAAGCGAUAGUGUAAUAGUACCGUGAGGGAAAUUUGUAAAAAGUUAUUUUAUAAGCAGUUCAAGCUAAAAAAAAGCAAGAACGUACCUUUUGCAUAAUGGGUCACCAAGUUAACUUUGGAUGCAAGUUAGCGCGUAGUUAAAACAAUCAUAAGUAAUGAUUAGUGUCUAAAGUUAGACCCGAAGCCUGGUGAUUUUACCACAAUCAGGAUUAUAAAAGUCCGAACGGUAUAUCGUUGCAAAGAUAUCCGAAGAAUUGUGGUAGGUAUGGUGAAAGACAACACUGACCAGGAAAGCUGGUUUUCUGCGAAACCUAUAAAAGUAGGCAAUUUUAGUUACAUCUUAGUAGGUACAGAACUUAAUCUCAGACAAAUAGUAUAUUUGUAUAUAUCGGGGGAUCGUGAAGAUUUUAUCGGUGAGUAUGUAGACUCGGAAUGACAAAGAUGAAUCUAAAAUAAUCAGACAUAGAGUGAUAAGGUUGUAUGUCAAAAGGGAAACAGCCCAGAACAAAAGUUAAGGUUCCAAAAUUAUAGUUGAGUGAAAUUAAGAAAGUUUCUAUUUAAGCCGACAAGGAGAUGGGCUUAGAAGCAGCCAUAAUUUAAUGACCUCGUAAUAGAGCACUUGUUAAACCUUUAGAAGCGUCGAAAAUUCAACGGAUCUAAACUAUAUACCGAAACUUUGUCCAUUUAUAUUAUUAUUAUAUAAUUGUAUAAUAAGGGGUAGCAGAACAUUGAAUUAACACUAGAAAUUCCUUUUUUAAAGGGAUCUGAAAGUAAUUCAAGAGAUAAUGGUGACAUUAGUAACAAUAAGAAGACAAUAAUACUAAAUAACAUGGUAAAAGUCUCCGCCUAAAGCUUAUGGUCCGUAAAAAGUAACGGCCUCUAAAUUGAAAAUCUAAUGGUUUUGAUGAUGAGUAAAUCUUUUUUUACUAAAGGACGACGUUUUAAAGUGAAAAGCGUACUGGAAAAAUAGUAAUAUAUCUAAAAAGAUGAAAAACAACCGUACCUGGAUUAACCGCAACAGGUAAGCUAGUAGAGAAUACGAAGGCGUAAAUGGGAUAACAAUCUUAAUAUAUAGGGUUAGGCUCCUAUAUUGAGAAUAAGAGCCAAACUCCGGGGAAGCCCUAAAGCUCCUAAUACCAAACUUAAUGGCGAAAGUAUUAAGCGGACCAACUAAUCACUGGUGUAUGGUAAUAAGUUAGGUAGAUUUUAGAAAUAAGAAUGGGUGAUCGCGGAUCUAAAUCAAUUAUAGUAAAAUUAUCUUUGCCCCCUUCGGGGGGCCAUUUCCCCGGCACAGCACCCCCUCAGCUUCAGCUGAGUGGGUUUCGGGGAAAUAGGUAGUGAUAUUAUAGUUGUAAAAGAGCAACGAGUAGAUGGUUCUUCAAUAUAUAUGUAUAUUAUAUAUUGUAAGGUGUACUCUAGCCCCCAAAGAAACUUGGUUUUUUAAUAAUUUAUCUUUAAUAUAUUUGUAUUUGUAGGCUAUAUAAGCCACAAUGUUUGUUUCUAUAAAUUACCUAAUUAAGGGAGCUAGCGUAAGCUAUAACUUCCACUAAAUAUAUGAAUUAUGUAAGUUUUAUAAUUUUUCUAAUAAAAUUAAAUAACACUACCGCUUUAUUUUUUUAGUAACUAGCAUUAGGCCUAACGGUCCGUCGAGUCGGGCGAUAUUAUGGUUGGGGCUAGCACCCUCUUCUUGUGGUAUUUUAGAUGAUGAUUUUUAUAGAAAAUAUUGCACGGGAGUCUCGAAGUUUAAAUCAAUAUUAUAAGAUAUGAUAUCUGUUAUAUUGUAAUUAACAGUAAGGGUAUUAGGAUAGAAUAUUUGUAAAAGAAUAUCUCCGGACUGAUCUCCAUGAUCAAUGGAAUAAGGUAAUCUUUUGAUUUUAGGAAUUAGUUAAGGUGCAUCAAAAAGGAUUAAAGGCCCUUUUUAUGUAACGAUCUGAGUAGUAGUUAAACAACCUGCUAAACAAAUUCUGUUAAUUAUAAUAUUCUUAAGGAGUUACCUUAUAUAUUUGGCUCCCACUUAGUGACUUAAUAAUAAAAUAAAAACAGCGACAAAGAAUUUUACUAAUAAUUUAAUUAAUUUUAUUAACCCUAGUUAUAUCUCAGGGUUUGUUGAUGCAGAAGGGUGUUUUCAUGUUUCUGUUAUUAAAAAUAAAAAUUUACAUUUAGGUGUAAAUGUUAGGGCUAUUUUUCAAAUAACUCUUCAUAAUAAAGAUCAAGCUUUACUAGAAAAAAUAAAAGAUUUCUUUAAUGUUGGAUCAGUUUCUAUACGUACAGAUGGUGAAGCCGUCUAUGGUGUUUAUUCUUUAAAAGAUCUUCGAAUUAUUGUAAAUCAUUUUGAUAAGUAUCCUUUGAUAAGUGAUAAAUGAGCUGAUUUCCAGUUAUUUAAACAAGUUGUUGAGCUAAUGGAAAAUAAAGAACAUUUAACUGAGAAUGGUUUAAAAAAAAUAAUUAAUCUUAAAGCAUCAAUGAAUUUUAGUGCUAUUUCUGAGGAUUUAAAAGUUUUAUUUCCUAAUAUUGAACCUGUUGAGAGACCUGUGAGAGAUGAUAUAAUUAUUUAUGAUCCUUACUGGGUAACUGGGUUUGUAGAAGGAGAGGGAAUGUUUUUUGUAAAUAUAUAUAAAAAAAAAGAAUCUGUUUUAGGGGAAGGUGUUAAAUUAAUAUUUAAAAUAACACAAGAUAGUAAAAAUAAAGUACUAUUAGAAAGUUUUGUAAAUACUUUUUUUUCAGGUAAAGUCUAUAAACAAUCACCAACUACUAAAGUAUUAGAUUUUAUGAUAACAGGUCUUGGAGAUAUAACAAAAAAUGUUAUACCUUUUUUUGAAUCUUAUCCUUUAUUGGGAUCAAAGAAAAGAGAUUAUGAAGAUUUUAAAUUAGUUUCAGAUUUAAUGAAAACUAAAGAGCAUUUAAAUAAAAAAGGAUUAGAAUCGAUCCGUAAGAUUAAAUCGGGAAUGAACUCGAAUCGUAACUAAGAGGUGUUUACAUAAUUGUAAGCGCCUAAUUUUAAUUUGUAUUGUAUAUCAACCUGACGCCCACUAGGGCGGUUCUUCUUUGAGGGAACUCAUUAAAUAUUAAAGAUAAAUUAUUAAAAUUAAGGUAAAGCAUAUUAGCCUUUUCAUAUACUUUUUUAGAGCUUAUAUCUAAAAAAUGGUUUUUUUACUAAGAUAUGGAUAGAAAUAUGUAGCGAAAGGAACUCGGCAAAUUUACUACGUAACUUCGGAAUAAGGAGGUCUCAUUAGUCUUGAUUAAUAUCAGGUAAAAAGGAAGAAGCAUGAAAUAAUGUUGUACGACUGUUUAAUUAAAACACAGCACUUUGCGUCAAAGAUUUAAAUCAAAGUAUAAAGUGUGAUGUCUGCCCGGUGCCGGCUGGUUAACAGAUAUAAUUAAAUUUUCUUAGGGAAUUUAGUGUUGACGGAACCCCCGGUUAAUGGCGGCCUUAACGUGAGGGUCCUAAGGUAGCGAAAUGCCUUGGCCGUUAAAUGCGGUCUUGCAUGAAUGAUGUAACGAUACAACAGCUGUCUCUAAGAUUGACCCAGUGAACUUGAAUUAGCAGUGUUUAUGUGUGGUUAUAUUAAUUAUAACCUUGCUGCGUAAGUGAAAAUCUUACUCUACAAAUCUACUUUUUUUAAAUUUUUCUUCGUUGUGUAUAUGCACACAUAAACCAGUCUAUUAGGUUGGAGAGUUGUUAAGCUAUGUAGCAGAGCAAUUAUACUUCCGAUAGGCUUAAUUAUUGAAACCAAAACUUUUUUUUUAUUUAGCACUACUAGAGUUCACUAGUAUAAAAGUGAAGCUAUUCAUAGUGUUACUCUUUUAUUUAUUUGUAAAUUUUAAGCUAAGUCUAUGAUGUAAAGUUUAGAUGUUAUACUAUAGCAGUCAUAUCUAAUAGGAGAGAGAACGCAAUUGGCCUUGAGGAGUUAAAACUUGACGAGGGGUAGAAACGCAUGCGACCUUGAAUAAAGGAAAUAGACGUAUAUUCGAUUAUAGUUAGCUAGUCCCGGAGGGACACGAAACUGUUGUAUAUCAACAAGACUAUUUUUGCUUAUAAGCCUCAACUGGUAGUAAUAUCCUGGCCCGAAAGGAGGAAAGGAAGUUAACCUGGAUGUGCAGUUAUAGGUGGAUCUUAAAUUUUUACAUUUAAAAAAAUUAGUGGGCUAUGAAUGGGCAAAGAUUAAAAUUUAUUUUGCGCUAUUUUAAGUUCUUUAUAAUAAUAGUCUUUAUCUGAUAUUCUCUAGUUAGUUAGUUCCUAUUCCUGUGUAGCGUGUUUUAUAACAGCGCCUGGAUUGAGACUAGUAAAGCUAUGAGGUGGGGCGCCUCCGGCGUCGGAUUUACAAUUAUAAAUCUUAGUAAAAUCAAUUUUACGUCUUUAGGGCUAUCGGGUCCGGCAUGAAACUCGGUCGGGUGGUACUAUACUCGUAAACAAAUAGCGCCUCAUAUAAAUAAUAAAAACAAAAAUGAUGAUGAUGAUAAAAAAUAUAAACUUACUUAAAUCCUGCACUUUUCCCCGCGGAGCGGGGAAAAGGGCGCAAGCUCGAGCAGGUAAAUUUUUCUUAAAUUGUGCAUUAACGUACAAUCGUUUUUUCUCCGUAAAUUCUAAUUUAUUGCUGGCUUCGCAUAAAAAUAAUAUACAAAUUCAGAGAGAAUUAGAGCAUAGCUUUGAUUUUUAUACUUGGUUUGUAGGAUUUUCAGAUGCUGAAUCUAGUUUUAGCAUAGUCCCUAAACAAGAUAAUAAAGGCGAUGUUAAUAGAUUUUCUUUUAUGUUUGCUAUUGGUUUACAUCUAGAUGAUAUAGAGGCUUUAAAUUAUAUCCAAUCUAAAUUAAAUUUUGGUGUAGUUAGGCUUUUAAAAGAUGAAUGUAAAUUAGUAGUUACUAAAAAAGAGGACAUAGAAAAAUUAAUAUUAAUAUUCGAUAGAUUUAAUCUUAAUACUACUAAACAUUUAGAUUAUUUAGACUUUAAAAAAGCUUUUAAUUUAUAUUUUAGUAGAGAAAAUGUCUUAACAGAUGUUUUGAAAACCCAAAGGCCCCCGGGGCCCCGGCUGCGCCGGGGCCCCAGGGGUCAUUUCCCCCCACCCACUCAGCUGAGCUGAGAGGGUCGCGAAGCUUGGGGGGAAAUAUUAAAUUUAAAAGAUAGUAUGAAUAAAAAACGUACUAAUUUUGAGAUGCCUAUUGAUCAUAAUAUAGUUAUAACUAAAAGUUGAUUAUUAGGUUUAAUAGAGGGUGAAGGGUCAUUUCAGUUAUGAAGAAAUGAUGUAGUAGCUGUUUUGAGUUUAGUUUUAACAGAAAGGCAAUUGCCUGUUUUAGAAAAGAUGAAAGAAUUUUUAUUUAAUGAUUUAGGUUUUGAUCUAUAUUCUAAAUUUAAAUUAGGUUCUUCUUCAGCUAUAACAAUUAACAAUCAAAAAGCUAGAAAGAAUAGUAAAGCAAGUGCUUUAUUAAUUAUUAAAAAUAUUUAUAUUCUUAAUAACUAUUUUGUACCUUAUUUAGAAAACAUGCCAUUUUUAACCAAAAAGGGUAAAGAUUUUAAAGAUUUUAAAUUGAUCUGUAGUUUAUUAUAUAACGGAUCCCAUAAAAAUGACGAGAUAAAAUCUCUUAUUUUAAAAUUAUCAAAUACCAUGAAUAAUUUUAGGUUGUCUACUAAUCCUAAAGAGGUGGAGUUAUUAAAUAAUUCUGAAAUGAAUAUUUUAGUAAAUGCUCCUCAUGUUGUUAAACAUUUGAAUGAUGGUAGACAAAUAGAUUUGAGGACAGAUAAAAUUAUCCAUCAACAUUCUAGUAGUAUUUAUGAAGUAAUUAAGCCUAAUAAAGAGAGGGUUUUAUUAUUAACUUUAUUCGAAGCUGCAGAUAUUGUAGGUGUAGAUAUUAGAACCUUAAGUAAGCUAUUAGCUGAAGUAUCUACUGAUGCAGUAGAAGUUAAGGGUUAUUUUGUUAAAAGAAUAGCUGUGUUUGUACCUAAUGUUCGAAAGGACUAGAAAGGGAGGGGAGCGAAACGCUUGUUGGCUUCGCAUCCCGUAACUUAAAAAAAAAGUAAAGUAAAAUUGAGAUUAAGGUUACAACCGAAUCAGUUUUAUAGAUUGUAGAAAAAUUAGGUGAAAACGGUUAAUGACAUCCUAGUUAAAGACCGUCGGCAUUUGUAAAUGUCGCUACAGACUGGAUCGCCGGGGUAAGGCUGUAAUGCCUAUCCAAAUGUACAGUCGGAUUCCAUAACGAAAUAGUAAAUUCGUAAAAGGGAAGGAUUAUUCAAAAAAAAUAGUUUUGAAUUGCUAUCACACAUUAGUUAGUUAACCUUUAGUUAAUUGGAAUUGGCAGAUGCUGCUUACCUCUAGCUGGACGAGAAGACCCUAUGCAGCUUUACUGUUACUAAUUAUAGGGUAUAGAAGGCAAAUUUUAGAUAUAAGGUAUAUCGAUUGAUGAUUAUGAAAAUCCUUUAUUUUUCUUUUAUAUUUUUGAAUGAAAUCAGGAAUAUAUGCUUAACAGCUAUAUUAGUGAUUUAACCUAGUUCGAAUAAUGGCCUUGGGUGAGGAACUAUUGUUAGGAGACAGUUUAUGCGGGGCACAGACCCCAUAAAGAGUAAAUGGGAGUGUCUAAUAUUUAUAAUGUAAUAUCGUAUUUAUAUGAUAUUUUUUUUUGUUUGUUGUUUUAUGUAGAUAAACUACGUAUUAUCUUAUAUAAUUUUUUGUAUAUAUGCACGACCAUAUAUAUAUUUAAUAAAGUUUAUAUAGCAAUUUUUUGAUAGGUAAGAUUUUCUCUAAAGAGAAAUUAGAUGUACUGAAUAUAUUAUGAUCUGAAUCUAAUAUUUUCUUAGUUAUAAUUUAUUAUAAUAUUGAUUAGUACUUAGAAAGCUCAACGGCUUAAAUCUUGCCUUACUGUUUGAUUAACAACAAAUCUUUCAGUUGCGUAAGCAGGGCGUAGGAUCACAAGAUGCAUAAAGGAAAGAUCUUGUAUUAUAGGAAAAGCUACGCUAGGGAUAACAGGCUAAUUUGCGCAAGAGUGUACAAAAUGAGUGCGCGGUUUGGCACCUCGAUGUCGGCUUAACUUAUCCUCAUGGAUGCAAGAACUAUGUAGGGUACGACUGUUCGUCGAUUAAAAAGUUACAUGAGCUGGGUUAAAUACGUCGUGAGACAGUAUGGUUUCCAUCCUCUAGGGGGAAUUAGAAUAUAAUAAGGAUUAACCUUUGUACGAAAGGAACUGGUAGUAUAUAAUCUUAAAAAUUAUAUAACAUUUAUUAACCUAUGGUUUACCUGUUGUUUAUAUGCCCAAUAUUAAUUUAUAUAUAAUAUAUUAUUAUAUUAUAUGGGAUUAUACUAAACUCACUUAAGUAUCUUUAUAGUAUAGGCACGGCAGGAAAGCUAAGUUAGUUAAAGAUAAGAACUGAAAGCAUAUAGGUUCGAAGCUUACCUUAGGAUAUUUCUUAAAUAUGCGUAAUAUAAUAUUACGAAGAUUUUUAUAGGCUUUAUUUGAAAGAAUUAGAAAUUUUUAAAAAUAAAGUACUAAUUUUAUAAAUUACUAAACAUUAAUAUAUCUUACAUUUUUAAUA